Non-coding RNA from Ailuropoda melanoleuca (giant panda), 73 nucleotides. The record is from Rfam. Lineage: Eukaryota; Metazoa; Chordata; Mammalia; Carnivora; Ursidae.
GCCUGGUUGGCUCAGUGGGUAGAGCAUGUGGCUCUUGACCUCAGAGUUGUGAGUUCGAGCCCCAUGUUGGGUG